AAAGUUGCCAAUUAACUUCAGAAAUGGAAAAUAAUGGUUAAUUGAGAUUCUUUUAAUUUUUAUUUAUAAUGUUUAUUCUUUUUUAAAAUAAGUGUUUAUUCUUUAAGAAGGUACAGAAUAAGGAAAAAUCUAAAUAUUUGUAAUGAUAACAUAUUUUGAAUAAUAUAGGCCUAUGUCUGCCUGCCAACUCUCUAACAGCAUUAACUUGAAAUAUUCCUUCUUCAGGCAGACUGAAUAUUUUCCUGCCUUGCUAAAUGUUGGGUCAGUUAGCACCAGUCGCUGUAAAGCGGGAGCAGCUGACGGAGGAAUUCCGCUUGGUCUUAAAGCCUUCCACAAGCGCCUAUGUUCACAAAUUACAAUGUUCUUCAUAAAAAUAAAGAUUAAUUAUCAAUUGAUAAUUUACUAAUAUUUUGGUCUAGUGAUAAUAAUUGUAUGUGCUGUGAGAAAAUAACGAAUACAAAGAGUAGGGCUGCUGUGAGUGCAGGCAUGUUUCAGCAACAGAAUCAGAAUGAGCUUUAUUGGCAGGUAUGUUCACACAUACAAGGAAUUUGUUUUCGUGACAGAAGCUCCGCAGUGCAACAUAAUGAUAGUGACAGAACAAAAAACACAAUAAAAGAAUAAAAAAUCCAAAAAAGUAGGUAAGGAAUGACAAUGUAUGGCAGGUAUAUUACAAUGAGCAGUUAUAUGGAAUAAAAUCACUUUCAAAAAUAAUUGUAUGUAAUUCAAAACAUUUGUGUGUAAUUUUAAUAUACUCGUGCAUAAUUUAAAACUAUUGUACGUAAUUCUGUUUUUUGUCAGAGUUGGAUUCCAAAAUCUACGGCCACGACAGUUUACAGAUACGCAAUUCUGUGUGUUUUUUAGAGUACAACUCUAAAAUGUACGACUGUGACAGUUUACAGACAUGGCGCUUGUUUUCACAAUAGCUCUGUUACACACACGACAUGCGAAUUACGACCACGAAGUGCGGUGUGCGAAACGACUGUCAAAAAUACGUCAUCAAGGUCACAGGCAUUAUUAUCCAAGGGAAGAUGAAUCGAUUCAACGAAGUGCGCAUGCGCCCCACCAAAGUUUUAAACCACUGGCGCCGAAAUGGCGGAUCAGCAGCCAAGCGCUCACUCCUCGUCUCAGGUAAGUUACUUUUUUUUUUUUUUUAUCUGACAUGUUUAAACAGGGGUCAUCAAACCUGUUCCUGGCGGUCAUGAGGUCGGAGCUAAACUCUGAAGGACACGGGCCCUCCAGGACCGAACUUGACGACCCCUGUGUUUAAGGGUUAACAUUAGUUAUAACUAAUAACAGAGAAUAGCAGUAUUACAGAGAUAGUGUAGUAGGUAAGAUAAGCUCUCAGAGUACAUGUAACGUUAGGUGCUUAAAGAAGACAGUUGUUUAGAACAUGAGACAAUAGUAAGGAGAAUGCAGAAGACAAAAGGUAGGCAAAAUAAAAAGUAAAUCCCCAGUAACAGUCCCACGGACCCAACCCCAAACCCCAUCUCUGGAUUAGUAAUUAAUAAAGGCUAGUUUCUAAAGUACUUAUUCCUGCCUCUCUGUAUUAAUGCUCAUGGGUAGCCUAUAGCCCCUUUCACACUGCACGUCGGACCCAGCAUAUUGCCGCAAUAUUGCCGGGUCGCCUUCUGUGUGAAAGCAACCAAGUCCCGGGAUUGAUCCCGCAUUGAACCUGGGUCGGGGACCUAGUAAUAUUGCCGGGUUCGACCUGAGACGAGCGCUGUGUGAACAAAAGCCAGAUCUAAUGCCAUGUUGAAGUGAUGAUGCGACUCUUUUACCGGCUGUUUUGAAGGAAGAUCAACGUUCGAGACAAAAAAAUAUGUGCAAACUGUAAUGAAGCAGAGAUCAGUUAGUCCCUCACUUUCCGUGCUGAAGCUGUGAUCGUUCACUUGCUUCGUGAAAGUAUAACGUGCCUAGCGUUUUCGACUCGUACAUUAUACGUCACGCGCUGAUGUCACGUGUCAUUACGGGAUCUUUACUGGUUGUGUGUGAAAGCACUCACAUAUCCCGGGUAAUCACUGGAAGUGUGAACGUAUAAAAUCUAGUGUCCCGGGAACAAUUGCCGGAACACUUUUCCCAUGUAUUUGCAGGAAUGGCAGUGUGAAAGGGACUUAAAUGGGUUCCAUUCAGACCUUAAUAUUAAGUAUUUUACUGUUAUCAACAAGAUUGAACAAGACAUUUUCACCUGGCUAUACCCAAUGUGUAGAUCUGUUGUGGUAUUUAUGCAAAUUAGCACAUACGUAAUUAGAUUAUACACCGUUUGUCCAUGUUAACAAACAAUUAAAAAAAAGUUUAAUACAUUUUUUGUUUGUCUUGAUGUAAGUAAUCAACUCAUUUUCAUGGUGAUAUCUAAAGGUUAAAAAUGUUACCCUAUUCACGUGAGAAAAAGAAUGAAUAGGCUAUAUUUGGGUCUUUUUCGAAACUUUCCCCUAAUGGGAUUUUUCUAGGCUUUUUUUUUUCCUUACUCAAGAAAUAUUGAUACAAAAUCAGUUUGCUUCUGUUGCAAUUUGUUCAAGGUUGACCCCCAUUUUGGCUUAAAAUGACUGGACUAUAAUAAAAGAUAGAAUUUUGUCUUAAGUAAUAUUAAUGUCAGAGUAAUUUGACUUACAGGGACCGCUGCUGACGCACCUACUAGAACGCCUCAGGUCACGAAUAAGUGCAUUUUUAGACGGACAUCAGCUGGACUUGGACUAUUUUCAGUAUGUUAUCAAUUAAGAAGUGUUUAUUUUGUCAUCAGCCUCCACUAUCUUUGAUGUGCCAAAUUAUAUUUUGGAGACCCUCAUGGAUUUACAACAAAAAAUUAAUGUAGCUCUUUCCCAAGAGGUGGCCCCAGUUCUUACAAGGGAAUGUGGUGGUGGACGAGGUCGACCUAAGUUUAUUGUUUCCGAGGAAAUGCUGUCCCCUCUCAUAGAGAUGUCUUUACCAGUUUCUUGUAUUGCAAACAUUUUAGGAGUAAGCCAGUCAACUAUCUUUCGCCAAAUGCGUGACUUGGGUUUGUCUGUAAAAACUACGUAUAGCACCAUAUCUGACAAUGAAUUGGAUAAUGCCAUUUUGGCCAUCAAAAGAAGACUCCCAAAUGCUGGAUAUAGGAUGAUAUAUCUGAUAAAGGCUGCCUGCAAGCAGACGGACAAAGAGAGCAAUGGAACCACAUAAAAGAAUCCAUGCACAGAGUGGAUGCCCCCGGAAUAUUGGAAAGGAUAACACAGCUGGGGUGUAUUGUCAAGAAGUCAUAUUUUGUUCAAAGUCCACUGUCCUUAGUCCAUAUUGACACGAAUCACAAGCUCAUAAGGCAUGUUCUUAUAUUUUACCUACGGAAGUGUAAUGUUAUGCAAUAUUACGUUUAACAUGGUUUUACUUUGAAGGUACAACAACAUCAUAUUUGGUGGGAUAGACGGCUUCUCACGAAAGAUCAUGUACCUGGAACCAGCAACAAACAACUGUUCAAGCACUGCCUUAUCAUUCUUUCUCCAGUCUGUGCAAAAACAUGGCUGGCCUUCGGGGGUCCGGGGUGAUGAAGGUGUGGAAAAUGUGGCAGUUGCAGACACCAUGUUUCGUGUGAAAGGGACUAGAAGAAAAGCUUCAUUACUGGGAAAAGCUUACAUAAUCAGAGAAUUGAACGCCUGUGGUGAAACGUCUGGGUCAGCGUAACACAGCUGUAUUACGACAUACUUCACAGCCUUGAGGAAGAUGGCUUGUUGGACUUGUCAGAUUCCCUUUAUGUGUUUUGUGCACAUUAUGUCUUCCUCCCAUGUCUGAAGCGUGACCUCCACAGUUUUUCUGAAGGCUGGGACAAUCAUCCAUUACGGUCUGAAAAUGGGCUUACCCCUAACCAGAUGUGGAUAAUGGGACACAUGCACACCUCAUCUGGAGACAAUGAAGAGAGUUUUCAGACGUCAUUACCAACAUACUCUGCAUAAGGGACUUUCCAUGCCAUGGUAACCUAAUUUCACAGUGGAGCACAUGGAUUUCAAGCUGCAAGACUGAUGCCUUGAUGUCCAGAAAAGUGUGACAUGGCUCCAAAAGCAGUUGCCCAGAGGUCCAAAUCUUACAGAAAAUGUUUAAAAGAUGAUCCUGAGAAAUAUGCACAGUAUCUGCAGAGUGAGAAAGAGAGAUAUCGUAGAAGAAGAGAAACAGGAAAAUUUUAAUCUUGUUUCCCAAUUGAGCGAUGGAAAGUUAAUCAACAAAGGAAGAGAGCUAAGGACAGAGAAAAAAGAGAAAUAGAAAAUUAUCUUUCAAUGAGUAGUCCUCCCGAAUCUCCUGAUAUCCGUACACAAAAGAAUCAGAAUAGGGAUGUGCCAAAUGCAAGGAAUGAAAGAGUCGGUACGGCGGAUUCAGUCCAAACCCCAAAGCAAUGAGAACGCAAAAAAGUCAAUAGAAACAGAAGCUCUACUAUGAUCUCCAAAAGUCAAAAAAAAUAAAAAAGCCGGAAAAUGCCUUGCAAAAGGUUGAUAAGUAUAGGAAAAGGUUAGAUAGGCUGACUAAGAAGCAUACCACUGAGCAGUCACCAAGAACUAAAGGAAGAAAACAGAUAAGGGGAGGACAUGGAAAAUCAGGAAGACUCUUGUGUUUCAUAACACAUUAGUCUCAUAGCUGCGACAAACCUACCAUAAAAAGAAAAUUAAAGGAAAACAAAUCAUAAAAAAAGACACCAUAACUAGACAGAAAUUCAAAAAGCAGAAGCGUUACCUCAAUGUCUCCCUUUUCAGACUGUAUCACAGUUUCAAGGAGGAAUAUCCUCAGGUGAAAAUCUCAUACAGUAAAUUCUGUGAGAACCGUCCUUUCUGGAUCUUCAAACCCUCCAUUCAAGACAGGGAUACCUGUUUAUGCAAGACCCAUGCAAACAUCCAACUCAUGGCUGAUAAGUUGCUUUAUCUUAAACAGAAUUGAAAACCUAAUGCACUACCUAUGUUGUGAAAGUCCAACUAAAGCCUGCAUGUAUAGAGAGUGUGUCCGUUGCCAAGACAAAGAAGUACAAACUGCUGCAUUUCAACCUGGUGAGCAAACACAGUGGAUGGAAUGGUGAAAACAAAACUGAAAUCAGAGAGAAAAAGAAAGGUGGUGAUAAG
Molecule: long non-coding RNA, 5066 nt
Organism: Carassius gibelio (silver crucian carp)
Lineage: Eukaryota; Metazoa; Chordata; Actinopteri; Cypriniformes; Cyprinidae
Exons: 6
Source: RefSeq, a predicted model, not a curated record